This 576-nucleotide ribosomal RNA is filed under the name Triticum aestivum (bread wheat). RNAcentral describes it as "partial small subunit ribosomal RNA". The record is from RNAcentral. Lineage: Eukaryota; Viridiplantae; Streptophyta; Magnoliopsida; Poales; Poaceae.
AGCAUUCGCACGAGUUCAUAUACACAAGAUGAGGACAAGUUGAUUUGCCAAUGUUGGAUGGAGAUUAGCCAAGAUCCGAAGACCGGCGCGCAACAAAAGGGCCUUGUUUUUUGGACGAGAGUCCACAAAACUUUUCAUGAGAGGAAGAUGUUUGAGCCCUACCAAAUUACAAGCAACCGUGGCAUCACCUCGAUUCAAAAGAGGUGGUUGUUCAUCCAACAAGAGUGUAACAAGUAUUGCGCCGCAUUUGAGAGCGUUGAAGCACGGCCCGUGAGUGGUCUCGGCGUUGGGGACAUGGUAUGCUCGCCUUAUCCUAGCCCUUUUCCUUGCUACGGCCAUGUGGGACUUCGGCCUUGUAUAUGUUUGCAUGUUCAAUUGUUGUUGAUCAUGUGGUGUAGGCAUUUCAAUCUUUGGAAGCAUUCAAGGCCCGGCACAAUGACAAGCCAUUCACUCUUACGCAUUGUUGGACAAUCAUCAACAAUUGCCCCAAGUUCAAGGAUCAAUACCGUGAACUUCAAAGAAAGAGAGGCAAGAAGACGGCCAAGUACGCCGGAGGUGGAGAUGGCGAGGCGUUGA